AGGGAGUUUAGGGGACGUGGAGGGGGGGGGGUCGCGGGCCGGGUCACGGCGCGGCGGCGGCGAGGCGUCGGCCUGCGAGCGCGGGUCGGCCGCCGCGUUAUCAGGGGCUGUUAUCGCUUGUCAGGACCUCCGUCUCCCCGCAUUACGUCAGUUUCAAGACACCGACACUAUUAAUAUCAAAGGAGCCUUCGCGGAGGAAAGCGCCACCCCAGACGGAGCGCCCUUAAAGAGACAGCGCAGGCGGCCCCGCCGCGCCGCCCCCCCCUUCCCCUCACACGCAGCCCCCCCUCAGGGCCGGGCCGGGCCGGGCCGGGCUCCCCCGGGGGCGGCCAUGAGCGGGGAGCGGGCCGGGCCGCCGAGGCUUUGGCCGAGUUGGGUGUCUGAGGAGCAGCCCGCAGGCCACAGCCGCAUCCCCAGCGCGGCCCCCGCGAGGUUUUGGUGCCUUUUUUUUUUUUUCUUUUCUUUUUAUCGAUCGCAUUGAUCGCUGCUGUACGGAUUUUGAAAAGUCACCAACACCGCCACCGCCUCACAGCACCCCCAGCACCUCACAAAAAUGACAACGACACCACCAGCACCACCUCCGAGCCGCUGCCCACCCGCGGGACAGGGCACGGGGGGGAUGCCUGGGGGGCUCUGCUCGCCCCUCUCCCCCUGCUGUACCAGACAGACAGACGGACACUUCCCAGUCCUCCGCUGAACGUGCCCCGUGGGUGCCUUCUCGUUAACACCAAGCACAAAUUAGGUCUCGAGCUGCCCUGGAGAAGACCCUUACAACUGCCCUCUCUGCUCUCAGCCUCUCCGACUCAAAACGCGCCGCUUUCUCCCCUGCCACAAAUUGCCAGGAGUCUGUAUGUCGGAGUAAAAAACUCCGAGGAGAAGCAGUACGUGAAAGGUUCCCCUGAAAGGGUUUAAAACCCCAAAUAUAGUAGGCGUUAAAAACUAUGUAAACAUUUGUUGGGCAUUUGGACACAAUUUUUUCUGCACUUAGGUGACUUUAUAUGGCGAGUUUUUUCCUCCCGUGCAAGUCGCUUUGAACUGAUUUCACAUUAAAACACAAGUGUUCUGGUCGCUCGCAACUAGUAACACAUUAUUCAAAUGAGGAGCUGGAAAAGAGUUAAAUCAUUACGAUUUAAGUUAGAGACAAAGCUGUUUCCCCCAAAAUGCUUGAAAUGACAUAACAUUUUCCUCACAUUUUCCCUCCCAAAUACAUAGCUAUAAGGCAUAAAACCUUCAGAGAUACACGCUGACGCAAAUGAAACCCUCCCGUAAAGCGUAUGGCGUUUUCAGUCCCCUCUCCAAGCUUAAACAUUCUUCAUAUAUGUUUAGGAUAAUCUACUGGCAGAUUUGUAAAGUAAUUGCUCAUGUAAAUCACCCAGCAACACAUUUCCCCCUUAAGUUCUUUUGUAGGAUUGUCUGAUAAAGCGCUUUAUGAAUAGCAAAGCAAUAAUUCACAUGCAAGAGGUGAGCCUGUCAUGUUGCAAAUGGAAGGUAGCAGAGUUGCAGGCUGCGGCGCACGGUGGGAUCCCAGAGCCCAGGAGGGGAGCACUGACAGGGUCUGUGUGGGACCCCCUCCCUCUGCGCCCAGCAGCACACGGACAGUGUGGAGCACUGGAGAAGUUUAUGACGGAAAGUGGAGGAAAGUAGCACCAGAAUUUAAAGUUUGCUUUAGCAGCGGGGCCAUAUGCCGUAGCACCUCACUCACAUGCGCAGGGAGAAUGUUUCCUGACUUCAUAACCCUCUACUUUUUCUCAGGCUGGAAGUGCCAUAGCAGAACUGCAGUCAGAGACGAACCGCUUUCAGGAACCUCAGUGAAUGCAGAAUUCGGACUAGUGAAUACUUUUGUCCCAUCUACACUGAUUCAGACCUGUUCUUCUCUGCAGCUUAGGUUCUGCUGUUGCUGCCAAGCCAGACCAGAGUGGCUGUUCGCUCGGAGACGCCUUGCCUGUGAAGGGUUAAAAUCAGCAGGAAAUGAUGCCCCCCACACCUUAAAUCUUCUCCAGCUUGCAUGUGUGCCUGCAGUUCUCCUAGAUUUUAGUCACAUUAUGACAGAUAAAACACAGAGAAGAUUGGUAACCAUGAAAGUGCAGGUUUCAACACGUGGAAACCUUGAUAAUAAACACACCUUUUUUCACCUGUAGAACAAUACGAGAUAUGUAUUUGUAAAAGACAUAAGCUUUUUGUGCACAUGCUUUUAAAAUGAAACCGCAGAAGCCAUUCCUAAACAGAGAUUAGAAAGACAAAACGUGUCUUCAUAAUUUCAAGUCGACGACUUUAAUGAAAUACUCUCAGGAAAAGUAUGUUACAGUAUCUUUGUAAAAAAAAAAAAAAGCUUGCAUGAUACGUUCUGCAUUUCAAGUUAAAAUAAAGCAGAUCAAGAAGAUGUCAAUAUCAAUCUGUUUAUAUUCACCACAACAGAACUGUAGAGAACUUAAUAAAAGCAAAAAUAUUUUCAUAAA
Long non-coding RNA from Anas platyrhynchos (mallard), 2456 nucleotides. RefSeq lists it as uncharacterized. The record is from RefSeq and is a predicted model, not a curated record. NCBI's taxonomy places the organism in Eukaryota, Metazoa, Chordata, Aves, Anseriformes, Anatidae.